This 361-nucleotide ribosomal RNA is filed under the name uncultured bacterium. RNAcentral describes it as "bacterial SSU rRNA". It matches the Rfam family "Bacterial small subunit ribosomal RNA", at positions 29 to 416 of the family's 1533-position model. The record is from RNAcentral.
AACGAACGCUGGCGGCAGGCCUCAAACAUGCAAGUCUAGGGGGUGUAGCAAUACAUCACCGGCGGACGGGUGCGUAACGCGUGGGAAUAUACCUAUUGGUUCGGAACAACUGAGGGAAACUUCAGCUAAUACCGGAUACGUCCUUACGGAGAAAGAUUUAUCGCCAAUAGAUUAGCCCGCGUUCGAUUAGCUAGUUGGUGGGGUAACGGCCCACCAAGGCGACGAUCGAUAGCUGUUCUGAGAGGAAGAUCAGCCACACUGGGACUGAGACACGGCCCAGACUCCUACGGGAGGCAGCAGUGGGAAUCUUGGACAAUGGGGGAAACCCUGAUCCAGCCAUGCCGCGUGAGUGAUGAAGGCC